CCUACGGGUGGCAGCAGUCGGGAAUAUUGGGCAAUGGAGGAAACUCUGACCCAGCAAUACCGCGUGAAGGAUGAAGGUUUUCGGAUUGUAAAAUUCUGUUAUAAAGGAAGAAAAAAAUGACGGUACUUUAUAAGUAAGCCCCGGCAAACUAUGUGCCAGCAGCCGCUGUGAUACAUAGGGGGCAAGCGUUGUGCGGAAGGACUGGGUGUAAAGGGUGCGUAGGUGGGUUAUUAAGUUAGAGGUGAAAGCCCGAAGCUCAACUUCGGAAUUGCCUUUAAAGCUGGUUGGCUUGAGUGUGGGGGAGGUUAGCGGAACUCGUAGUGUAGCGGUGGAAUGCUUAGAUAUUAGGAAGAACAUCAGAGGCGAAGGCGACUAACUGGAACAUUACUGACACUGAAACACGAAAGUGUGGGGAGCAAACAGGAUUAGAUACCCCUGUAGUC
RNAcentral lists this ribosomal RNA (443 nucleotides) under uncultured bacterium. RNAcentral describes it as "partial 16S ribosomal RNA". It matches the Rfam family "Bacterial small subunit ribosomal RNA", at positions 338 to 795 of the family's 1533-position model. The record is from RNAcentral.